Non-coding RNA from Myotis davidii, 76 nucleotides. The record is from Rfam. NCBI's taxonomy places the organism in Eukaryota, Metazoa, Chordata, Mammalia, Chiroptera, Vespertilionidae.
GGCAGUUCUCGGGUGAUGCACCCCGGAAUUGGGCUUCCUCCUCUCUAGUUCCGGAGUACAUCACCAGAGAAUAAGA